CAGCUAGUGGCGGAGCGGUCAAACGCAUCUCCAUAUCAAGAAGACUGUUGCGGGUUUGAAUCCCGACUGGUUGU
This 74-nucleotide transfer RNA is filed under the name Operophtera brumata (winter moth). It matches the Rfam family "tRNA". Rfam says of the family: Transfer RNA (tRNA) molecules are approximately 80 nucleotides in length. Their secondary structure includes four short double-helical elements and three loops (D, anti-codon, and T loops). The record is from Rfam by way of RNAcentral. Lineage: Eukaryota; Metazoa; Arthropoda; Insecta; Lepidoptera; Geometridae.